ACAAGCAACAAUGAAGCCGGCAAGGGGACCACGCCAGCGGCUCAGUGAUCCUCAGAGUGCUGCACUCCAAUGUCCUCAAUGAGUCUUUCUGCAUAUAAUCACUUUAUUUUGCACCGCGAGCCACCAUGAAUCUCGCCUUGAUCGAUCCGUUUGUCCUUGCUCAAGAUUACCCAGAUGCCCUUACCGGCAAGCUUCGCUGCGGACAUGCUACUUGCUUAAGGUUCAACCGCAAGGGUGACUACUUGGCUUCUGGACGAGUCGAUGGCACGAUCGUGAUAUUUGACGUGGAAACCAAUGGCGUAGCUCGAAAGCUACGAGGACACAGCAAACAGAUUCAGAGUCUGAGCUGGUCGAGAUGUGGUAGAUAUCUACUCAGUUCCUCACAGGAUUGGAAGUGUGUAUUAUGGGAUAUGAAAGAUGGCUCCCGGGUGCGAACCGUGAGAUUCGAAGCCCCUGUAUACAUUGCGGAAUUGCACCCAUUUAACCACUGGCUCUUUGUGGCUUCGCUAUUCGAAAAGCAACCGGUUCUCGUCGA
This 535-nucleotide small RNA is filed under the name Histoplasma capsulatum var. duboisii H88. Its description in RNAcentral is "Histoplasma capsulatum H88 hypothetical RNA". The record is from RNAcentral. Lineage: Eukaryota; Fungi; Ascomycota; Eurotiomycetes; Onygenales; Ajellomycetaceae.